RNAcentral lists this ribosomal RNA (500 nucleotides) under uncultured bacterium. Its description in RNAcentral is "bacterial SSU rRNA". It matches the Rfam family "Bacterial small subunit ribosomal RNA", at positions 57 to 532 of the family's 1533-position model. The record is from RNAcentral.
GCAAGUUGAGCGGUAAGGCCCCUUCGGGGGUACACGAGCAGCGAACGGGUGAGNANCGCGUGGGUAAUCUACCUCGAGGUGGGGGAUAGCCCCGGGUAAACCGGGGGUAAUACCGCAUGAGUCCUCGAUGACAUAAGUCGACAAGGGGAAAGGCGGGGAUCCUUCGGGACCUGUCGCCUUGGGAUGAGCCCGCGUCCGAUUAGCUUGUUGGUGGGGUAAUGGCCUACCAAGGCAACGAUCGGUAGCCGGCCUGAGAGGGUGAACGGCCACAUUGGGACUGAGACACGGCCCAGACUCCUACGGGAGGCAGCAGUGGGGAAUUUUGGGCAAUGGGGGAAACCCUGACCCAGCGACGCCGCGUGGAGGAUGACGGCCUUCGGGUUGUAAACUCCUGUCAGGUGGGAAGAAGAGCUUAUCGGUUAAUACCCGAUAGGAAUUGACGGUACCACCAAAGGAAGCCCCGGCUAACUCCGUGCCAGCAGCCGCGGUAAUACGGAGGG